GACGAACGCUGGCGGUGUGCUUAACACAUGCAAGUCGAACGGUAAGGCCCUUUCGGGGGUACACGAGUGGCGAACGGGUGAGUAACACGUGAGUAACCUGCCCUCAUCUCUGGGAUAACAGUCGGAAACGGUUGCUAAUACUGGAUAUGAGCUUGCAAGGCAUCUUGUGGGUUGGAAAGAUUUUUUUGGUUGGGGAUGGACUCGCGGCCUAUCAGCUUGUUGGUGAGGUAGUGUCUCACCAAGGCUUCGACGGGUAGCCGGCCUGAGAGGGCGACCGGCCACAUUGGGACUGAGAUACGGCCCAAACUCCUACGGGAGGCAGCAGUGGGGAAUAUUGCACAAUGGACGGAAGUCUGAUGCAGCAACGCCGCGUGCGGGAUGACGGCCUUCGGGUUGUAAACCGCUUUCAAUUGUGACGAAGCUUUUUGUGACGGUAGCAGGAGAAGAAGCACCGGCUAACUACGUG
RNAcentral lists this ribosomal RNA (466 nucleotides) under uncultured bacterium. RNAcentral's name for it is "partial 16S ribosomal RNA". It matches the Rfam family "Bacterial small subunit ribosomal RNA", at positions 28 to 507 of the family's 1533-position model. The record is from RNAcentral.